Molecule: ribosomal RNA, 251 nt
Filed under: uncultured prokaryote
Description: partial 16S ribosomal RNA
Rfam family: Bacterial small subunit ribosomal RNA
Source: RNAcentral
ACGUAGGGGGCAAGCGUUGUCCGGAUUUACUGGGUGUAAAGGGCGCGCAGGCGGAAUGGAAAGUCAGUGGUGAAAUCCUACAGCUUAACUGUAGAACUGCCUUUGAUACUUUCAUUCUUGAGUUCGGGAGAGAGAGACGGAAUUCCGGGUGUAGUGGUGAAAUGCGUAGAUAUCCGGAGGAACACCAGUGGCGAAGGCGGCACCCUGGUCCAAGACUGACGCUAAGACGCGAAAGCAUGGGGAGCGAACGG